Molecule: transfer-messenger RNA, 364 nt
Filed under: Acidocella sp.
Lineage: Bacteria; Pseudomonadati; Pseudomonadota; Alphaproteobacteria; Acetobacterales; Acidocellaceae
Also listed under: 1 other name
Rfam family: Alphaproteobacteria transfer-messenger RNA
About the family: Bacterial tmRNA, also known as 10Sa RNA or SsrA, is named for its dual tRNA and mRNA-like properties. Its role is to liberate the mRNA from a stalled ribosome. To accomplish this part of the tmRNA is used as a reading frame that ends in a translation stop signal.
Source: RNAcentral
UCUCUUUCAUAUCUCACCGUCCUUGCCUAUAUUAGCGAUGCCAGCUUGCUGGCUAUGGCGAUAAACGGCACGUGGAAUAAACGUUGUGGACCCGGGGGCAGUACCCGGCAUCUCCACCAACCUUUUCUAGGCGGCCCGAUUCAGACUACGCGGCUGCGCCGCUUCGUCAUCGGGACGCCAAGAAAUAUUUGGGGAUGAAACAGCCUCGACACGCGUGGUAAAGACCUGUCUUUUGCUCGGCAUUGUACCGCCGUUAUCGGGCUAUAACUUAAAUGCGAACGAUAACAACGUAGCAUUCGCGGUCGCUGCCUAAACAGCAGCUAAGCGCGGUCCGGGGGGUACCGGGCAACAGAAACCCCCCACU